This 1068-nucleotide ribosomal RNA is filed under the name uncultured bacterium. RNAcentral's name for it is "bacterial SSU rRNA". It matches the Rfam family "Bacterial small subunit ribosomal RNA", at positions 102 to 1194 of the family's 1533-position model. The record is from RNAcentral.
ACGGGUGAGUAAUGCUUAUCUUACCUACCAUUUAGUGGGGGAUAAAAUCUAGCGGGUAUUCUAGUUUCGACUAGGAAAGGGGGUCGCAAGAUUCUCGCUAAAUGAUGGGGAUAAGGCGUAUUAGCUUGUUGGUGGGGUAAAGGCCUACCAAGGUCAAGAUGCGUAGCCAAACUGAGAGGUUGACUGGCCACAAGGGAACUGAGACACGGUCCCUACUCCUACGGGAGGCAGCAGUGAGGAAUUUUCCACAAUGGGGGCAACCCUGAUGGAGCAAUACUACGUGAAGGAGGAAGGUCUACGGAUUGUAAACUUCUGUUAGCGCGGAAGAAGGGCCGAGCGUAAGUUCGGUUUUGACGGUACGCGCAGAGAAAGCCACGACUAACUACAUGCCAGCAGUCGCGGUAAGACGUAGGUGGCGAACGUUAUCCGGAAUUAUUGGGCGUAAAGGGUGCGUAGAUGGUAUAAUAAGUUAUCAGCGGUAAAUCGGGGCUCAACCUCGUGGAAGUCGGUAAUACUGUUAUACUUGAGUGCAGGAGAGGUUAACGGAACUCCAUGUGGAGCGGUAAAAUGCGUAGAUAUAUGGAAGAACACCAAUAACGGCGAAGGCAGUUAACUAUUCUGUUACUGACAUUGAGGCACGAAAGCGUGGGGAGCAAAAAGGAUUAGAUACCCUUGUAGUCCACGCCCUAAACGAUGAGUGCUAGAUAUUGGGAACUUGAUUCUCAGUGUCGCUAGUUAACACGGUAAGCACUCCGCCUGGGUAGUACGGUCGCAAGGCUGAAACUCAAAGGAAUUGACGGGGACUCGCACAAGCAGUGGAGCAUGUGGUUUAAUCCGAUACAACGCGUAGAACCUUACCAAGGCUUGACAUGUUCGGCAAAGUUAUUGAAAGGUAAUGGAGGUUAUCCGGACACAGGUGCUGCAUGGCCGUCGUCAGUUCGUGCCGUGAGGUGUAUGGUUAAGUCCUAUAACGAACGUAACCCUUAGGUUUAGUUGCCAGCAUUCAGUUGGGGACUCUAGACCGACUGCCCGAGUAAUCUGAGAAGGAAAGGAUGACGUCUGGUCGUC